UGGUGGAGCGAUUUGUCUGGUUAAUUCCGAUAACGAACGAGACUCUGGCCUAUUAAAUAGUUCGCCAAUUCCGAUCUGUCGGCGUUAACUUCUUAGAGGGACAAGUGGCUUUUAGCCACGCGAGAUUGAGCAAUAACA
RNAcentral lists this ribosomal RNA (138 nucleotides) under uncultured eukaryote. RNAcentral describes it as "partial 18S ribosomal RNA". It matches the Rfam family "Eukaryotic small subunit ribosomal RNA", at positions 1299 to 1458 of the family's 1831-position model. The record is from RNAcentral.